This 375-nucleotide ribosomal RNA is filed under the name uncultured bacterium. RNAcentral describes it as "bacterial SSU rRNA". It matches the Rfam family "Bacterial small subunit ribosomal RNA", at positions 525 to 896 of the family's 1533-position model. The record is from RNAcentral.
ACGUAGGGCGCAAGCGUUGUCCGGAAUUAUUGGGCGUAAAGAGCUCGUAGGCGGCUUGUUGCGUCGACUGUGAAAACCCGUGGCUCAACCAUGUGGUCUGCAGUCGAUACGGGCAGGCUAGAAUUCGGUAGGGGAGACUGGAAUUCCUGGUGUAGCGGUGAAAUGCGCAGAUAUCAGGAGGAACACCGAUGGCGAAGGCAGGUCUCUGGGCCGAUAUUGACGCUGAGGAGCGAAAGCGUGGGGAGCGAACAGGAUUAGAUACCCUGGUAGUCCACGCUGUAAACGUUGGGCGCUAGGUGUGGGGGGCCUCUCCGGUUCUCUGUGCCGCAGCUAACGCAUUAAGCGCCCCGCCUGGGGAGUACGGCCGCAAGGCUA